This is a long non-coding RNA of Etheostoma cragini (Arkansas darter), 109 nucleotides long. RefSeq lists it as uncharacterized. NCBI's taxonomy places the organism in Eukaryota, Metazoa, Chordata, Actinopteri, Perciformes, Percidae. The record is from RefSeq and is a predicted model, not a curated record. The transcript has 3 exons.
GACGAGGACCGUGUCAGCAUUGUUCGGCAGUUGUUGGGUAUGUGAGUGGAAAUACAUCCAACAUGCUAACGCAUAUCCAACGCCAUCACCCAGAUAACAAGCAACACAC